Molecule: ribosomal RNA, 490 nt
Filed under: uncultured Parachlamydia sp.
Lineage: Bacteria; Pseudomonadati; Chlamydiota; Chlamydiia; Parachlamydiales; Parachlamydiaceae
Description: bacterial SSU rRNA
Rfam family: Bacterial small subunit ribosomal RNA
Source: RNAcentral
AAACUUAAAGAAUUGACGGGGACCCGCACAAGCAGUGGAGCAUGUGGUUUAAUUCGAUGCAACGCGAAGAACCUUACCCAGGCUUGACAUGCAGAUGACCGCUCUAGAAAUAGAGUUUUCCUUCGGGACAUUUGCACAGGUGCUGCAUGGCUGUCGUCAGCUCGUGCCGUGAGGUGUUGGGUUAAGUCCCGCAACGAGCGCAACCCUUAUCAUUAGUUGCCAACAGGUGAAGCUGGGAACUCUAAUGAGACUGCCUGGGUUAACCAGGAGGAAGGUGAGGAUGACGUCAAGUCCGCAUGGCCCUUAUGUCUGGGGCUACACACGUGCUACAAUGGUCGGUACAGAAGGCAGCGAAACCGCGAGGUGAAGCAAAUCCAACAAAGCCGAUCUCAGUUCAGAUUGUAGUCUGCAACUCGACUACAUGAAGACGGAAUUGCUAGUAAUGGCGAGUCCAGCCAACAUCGACCGUAGAAUACGUUCCCGGGUCGUU